Molecule: long non-coding RNA, 3557 nt
Filed under: Triticum aestivum (bread wheat)
Lineage: Eukaryota; Viridiplantae; Streptophyta; Magnoliopsida; Poales; Poaceae
Description: long non-coding RNA (TAES_LNC004663)
Source: RNAcentral
GACAUCCAUCAGCACUGGCCAAUACGACCGGCCAGCCGCAUCAUCGGUAUGUUUGCCACAACUUAGUAAUUAGAAAUCAGUUCCGUCCGUGUUUUGUUGGUUCAAGUGCCCUUUUUCAAUGAAAUUUAUUUUGUGAUGAAUCGAUCUGGUCAUAUUCUGACAGAAUAUAAAAAAUCUGAUGUAACAAUCUGGCCACAUCCUUCUACUCUUAUUGAUUGAUCUGAUUAAUAUUUUUUUUGCAAUUCGAUGUACAAAUCAAUCUAGCUGAUUUUUAUAGUUCAUCCCAGUAAGUGAAAUAUUAUUCUCACAAGGUGUUCGACUAAUUUCGGAGUUGAUUUUAAGAUCCCUAAGUGGUUUCAACUGCAAACUAAUUUAGGUCCUGUAGUGAUUUGUCAAUGGCGUACUACCGAAGUGCUUCUAGCGAUAGCAACAUGCACGUACAAGUGCUUUGAAGCAGGCAUAUCGAUGGAUUUUUGGGAGGAAGAAGCUAGCAAGAUAAACUUUCGGCCUUAGCUCACAUGUAUAUUCUGAGAAUUUUCUUCUCCGUUGAACAAUUUAUGUCCUUCUGCAGAUGGCUAAUCAUCGGAACUAUGAGAAAGUAGGCCAUUGUUUACAAACUCAAGGAUUCAGUGAUGUUGAAGCUAAAAGCUGGACUUCACUGCCCUCUGCUCCUCAAUUCAGCCGCCGUUGCCCGCUGCUCCUCAAUUCAGCCGCUGCUGCCGCCACGUUGAGGCCCUCGCCACUAAGCCGGUGAACUUGGAUCAGGUGUGAACUUUGAUCAUGUUUUUCUUUACCUUAACAUCAAGCCGUCGGCUGGGUUUAGGAAGGUAGCUCACGGGACAAACAUUGGUGGCUCACACUCAAUUAUUAAGAGCACCAUAAUUGGAAAAUAUGCACUUGCUAAAACAAAAUUAAUAAUGACAAAAACUAUGAACAUCAGUCAAAGUUCAUGGUCAGAUUCCUCAUCACAGAUUUGGGUCAAAAGUCAAAAAUGCAAGGGAGUAACAACAAAAAAACACGACUUCAAUUGUGCUCCUGUUGGUUAAUAUACCGAGUAAAAAUAAAUAGAACAACCUAUAAUAUAGAGCUUAUGUGCUUUGCACGAAACUGAAUGCAUGGCACUGAACAUAUCUCUAAUCUAUUAUAUGUUAUAUAAGAAAGCACAUAAUUGGGAGGACUGAAAUCCAGCUUGGUUAAACGAAAUAAAUUGGCAACAUAAUUUGGGAGGUGCCUAUCUUUUGUAGCAACGAAGUAAGAUAGUCGACAAGUUCUGGAUCAACAAGACCCUGAGCAUGUCUUGACCCCUAAAUGGAUUACUGCAAGCCUUACUCAAAUGAUAAUAAUAAAAGGUAGACUCGGCUCCUCCACUCAUGCUUCUCUGAAUACAAUGUAAAUUUCAGAACAUGGCUCUCUGAAUUUCUACAACCUAAAUUUAGUACAUGCUUCUUUGAAUGUUGGCCAGCCAAUCGGUACUGUAUUGCAGACUUCAGAGAAUUGUAUGCAUGCCCUUUAUGCCAAUGGAUUACUGCAUUUUUAUGUUAGGUUUUACACUAUUUGAAUGUAAGGACUAUAUAGUAUCUCUUUGGCAAUCUAUGGCAAGUCAUUUUCUGCACAUAAAAUUCAGUGCAUGCUUCUCUGAAUAUCUGCAAUACAAGUGAGCAAAAUUCGUUCUUACAUGUUGUCCUGCCAAUUGGUAUUGGCAGCCUUGCAUACAUGUUUUUAAAAUGCUUAAUCCAAGUGCCACUUCUGUACUAAAUAAGCUGAACUUUAUUUUAUAAAUAACUAAAUGUUGGUUUGCUGACGUCUUCUUGUGAUUGAAUUCUGGAACUUACAUUGUCCGUUUGCAACAUUACAUACGGCCAUGCUUUGCAAGACGUUCUAUAUAUAGGCUCUUUUGUACGUGAUAAAAAAAUUUGGACACAUAUUUGUUACUCCCUCCGUCCCAUAUUUGUCAAAAACGCUCUUAUAUUAUGGGACGGAGGGAGUAGAACUAUGAGUUCACCAUAUACUAUGAAAAUUCAUCAACUUGGGAUUAUGAAUCAUGUUUGUUUUUUGGAGAACCAUGUACUGAUUUAGAUAAAACCUCAUUAGCGAGAAAUAUUUGACUCGUAGGGAGCUACUGUAGUUUUUCCUGCUUUUCCAAUUAUUCUGUUGUUACUUCGUUCAUAGCUAUGGAAUGGAUCCUUCUACCAUUGCCAGUUCAGCUAUACCAGGUACACUCUGAUGCUUGUUCAUGGAAUUUUGGUAACAAUAUGAACUGUGAUAUGUUCUGAAACAUAAACUGAGAGGCAAACUUAUAUUAUGUUUAACAGGUUUGGCUGUUGUUCCUCUAUACAACUUUAUCUUUUAGUAUCGACCAAUACCUCAUAUCCCAUUUGAAGGGAAUAUUGUGAUGCUCUAGGACUUUAUGUUAUUUUACCAUACAAUCCGAUAAAAAUGAUGCUCUUCUUCAAUGCCUGUCUAUCCACCUCCGACGUGUUGUUUGUUGGCUGUUCUUGUUAUGCUUUUUUCUGUUCGUUUCAAAGUUAUUAACUCAUUAGGCAUAUAAGUACCAAUAAUGCAAGUUUUUUUGGGUCAUUUGGAACUUAGCAAAAGUUCAUUUUAUUCUAAAGGUGAGUAUGGAAUCAUCCGACAUCCUGGUGGCUCUUGUAAGUCUCAAAUGGGAGAUUAAGGGACAAGUUGAUUGUUCACACAAGGUAGGUGUACUUUUAGGCCUCUGGUUUGUUCUAAACAUGUAAGUUCGGGCUUAGCCUAUACUCUUUUCACAGAGAGUUGCCGAGUUGUUUCUGUGCCAGGCUGUGAUGCAAGGUUUUGCCAUGUUGCUGAAAAGAUAUCAAUGUCGAAGACUAUAUACAACUUUGUAGUCGUCUGCUCAAAUUUUAGUCAAAAUAGAUAUUUGUAAGUUGAAAAUUUAUUUUUGGCAGGCUAAAAUAAUGGAGGUUGUGUGGGAAGAGAUUGUUGUUGUUUAAGGCUAACUAUUGUUGUUCUGUCACUUCCCCUUUCUCUUGCUGGUAUGUGGUUAUCCAUAUGAUAGCUGGGAUUGAAUAUGCAACAUGCAACUACCUUGUCUUCAUAAUUCACUAUUCAUCUUGAUACAUGAUGAUAUACUCAAAUUUUUGUUUUACUUGGAUAAUAGUACCUGUCAUUUUAUUUAGAAUAGUAGCAGGCCAUUUAUUUAGAAUACUACUAGGUCAUUUAUUUAAUUUAAUGCGUACAUUACAGUAUUCCUUUGAAUGCUAGCCAAACUUGUAGGUGAGUUAGAAACCUACUUCUAAGUUCUGGGAUGUCCGCCAAGCAACCAAACUUGUGUUGGGAGUGUCAUUCUGGUUGGCCUUCCACCAGAAGAAAAUCGCCAUGGACACCCCAAGUCGGUUGUUCCUCUACUCCAUAGAGAUGUGUCACUCACCGCCGUUGGCACUUAACUAACGACGGCGUCAAAAUAGAAAGAUGAAAAGUUGGACUUGUAAGAGAAUAGUCAUAUUACUACAAUAGAUGUAGAUCUUGAGCAUAUCGAAAGAUUAAAUUGUAAUUUGUAACAGGAAUGCAAUAGCAUUUUG